RNAcentral lists this ribosomal RNA (506 nucleotides) under uncultured bacterium. Its description in RNAcentral is "partial 16S ribosomal RNA". It matches the Rfam family "Bacterial small subunit ribosomal RNA", at positions 29 to 523 of the family's 1533-position model. The record is from RNAcentral.
AGUGAACGCUGGCGGUAGGCCUAACACAUGCAAGUCGAACGGCAGCACAGAGGAGCUUGCUCCUUGGGUGGCGAGUGGCGGACGGGUGAGGAAUACAUCGGAAUCUACUCUGUCGUGGGGGAUAACGUAGGGAAACUUACGCUAAUACCGCAUACGACCUACGGGUGAAAGCAGGGGACCUUCGGGCCUUGCGCGAUUGAAUGAGCCGAUGUCGGAUUAGCUAGUUGGCGGGGUAAAGGCCCACCAAGGCGACGAUCCGUAGCUGGUCUGAGAGGAUGAUCAGCCACACUGGAACUGAGAAACGGUCCAGACUCCUACGGGAGGCAGCAGUGGGGAAUAUUGGUCAAUGGGCGCAAGCCUGAUCCAGCCAUACCGCGUGGGUGAAGAAGGCCUUCGGGUUGUAAAGCCCUUUUGUUGGGAAAGAAAUCCAGCUGGCUAAUACCCGGUUGGGAUGACGGUACCCAAAGAAUAAGCACCGGCUAACUUCGUGCCAGCCGCCGCAGUAA